Molecule: unclassified non-coding RNA, 406 nt
Filed under: soil metagenome
Description: partial contains 5.8S ribosomal RNA, internal transcribed spacer 2, and large subunit ribosomal RNA
Rfam family: 5.8S ribosomal RNA (bases 1-121)
Source: RNAcentral
GAUGAAGAACGUAGCGAAAUGCGAUAAGUAAUGUGAAUUGCAGAAUUCAGUGAAUCAUCGAAUCUUUGAACGCACCUUGCGCCCUUUGGCCAUUCCGAAGGGCAUGCCUGUUUGAGUAUCAUGAACACCUCAACUCUUCAUGGUUUUCCAUGAUGAGCUUGGACUUUGGGGGUCUUGCUGGCCUGUGGGUCGGCUCCUCUCAAAUGAAUCAGCUUGCCGGUUUUUGGUGGGCAUCACAGUUGUGAUAACUAUCUACGCUUGUGGUUUUCCACCAGGGUAACCUUCAGCAGUGGAGGUUCACUGGAGCUUACAAAUGUCUCUCCUCUGUGAGGACAGCCCUUUGAAUGUUUGAUCUCAAAUCAGGUAGGACUACCCGCUGAACUUAAGCAUAUCAAUAAGCGGAGGA